GCCAGGCAUGGUGGUGGGUGCCUAUAAUCCCAGCUACUCAGGAGGCUGAGGCAGAAGAAUUGCUUGAACCCAGGAGGCGGAGGUUGCAGUGAGCCAAGAUGGUGCCACUGCACUCCAGCCUGGGUGACAGAGCAAGACUCUGUCUCAA
Molecule: non-coding RNA, 148 nt
Organism: Homo sapiens (human)
Lineage: Eukaryota; Metazoa; Chordata; Mammalia; Primates; Hominidae
Rfam family: Metazoan signal recognition particle RNA
About the family: The signal recognition particle (SRP) is a universally conserved ribonucleoprotein. It is involved in the co-translational targeting of proteins to membranes.
Source: Rfam